RNAcentral lists this transfer RNA (72 nucleotides) under Candidatus Levyibacteriota bacterium. RNAcentral describes it as "tRNA-Arg". It matches the Rfam family "tRNA". Rfam says of the family: Transfer RNA (tRNA) molecules are approximately 80 nucleotides in length. The record is from RNAcentral. Lineage: Bacteria; Candidatus Levyibacteriota.
GGCCCUGUAGUUCAACGGAUAGAAUAGGCGCGUCCUAAGCGCUUGAUGACAGUUCGACUCUGUCCAGGGCUA